AACGAACGCUGGCGGCAUGCCUAACACAUGCAAGUCGAACGAGACCUUCGGGCUUAGUGGCGCACGGGUGCGUAACGCGUGGGAACCUGCCCUUAGGUUCGGAAUAACUCCCCGAAAGGGGUGCUAAUACCGGAUAAUGUCUUCGGACCAAAGAUUUAUCGCCUUUGGAUGGGCCCGCGUUGGAUUAGCUAGUUGGUAGGGUAAAAGCCUACCAAGGCGACGAUCCAUAGCUGGUCUGAGAGGAUGAUCAGCCACACUGGGACUGAGACACGGCCCAGACUGCUACGGGAGGCAGCAGUGGGGAAUAUUGGACACUGGGCGAUAGCCUGAUCCAGCAAUGCCGGGUAAGUGAUGAAGGCCGUAGGGUUGUAAAGCUCUUUUACCCGGGAUGAUAAUGACAGUACCGGGAGAAUAAGCACCGGCUAACUCCGUG
Molecule: ribosomal RNA, 433 nt
Filed under: uncultured bacterium
Lineage: Bacteria
Description: partial 16S ribosomal RNA
Rfam family: Bacterial small subunit ribosomal RNA
Source: RNAcentral